GAACGUCAAUCGUCAAACAAGCCCGAGAAAUAAAAAACACAAAUAUUGAAAGAGCAAGCAAAAAAAGAUACAGUGAAUACGUGUGCAAUUAAUUAAAACGUUUUACUUUAUUUUUAUUUUGGUUAAAAUUUUGCUGAAAUAUCGCGUAUGAAUUGCCAUAAACGGGAGACUGGUUCAGUGCGUGUAUUUUUCGCUACAACAGACUGUGCGAGCCCAUAUAUAGAGAAAAAAAAUUGUUCAACGGUUGCGAUUGUGUAUGUGCACGAGAGAGAAGAGAGAAAAAAAAUGAACGAAUUAAUCCCACGAAGAAAUAGAGCCAAUGUAUGAGCAGCGUGAAAGCAGUUUCUUAAAAAUUAAUUGAGUGGAAAACUUGAAAUAAUCAACAAAAAUAAAUCGAUUUAAUAAUUUGAGAAAUAACAAAUUACGACAAAACUACUAAGCACUGAACCAUCGAGCCAUUCAACCGACCACUACUCCAUGAUCAUAGCUCCAACGCAACUCGAUUGAUCAGUUUCCCGAAACCAAUUCAACUAAUACACGUUUAUAUUGGAAAUAUUUUUGAAUUUCACAGCUGGACUAUAUCAGAGAAUCAUCACAAAAUGGGAAGCGAUUCACAGGAUAUUCAACAGCAUAUUGGGUGUGGCAACGACAUUAAUUUACCACAAUUUACAUUGAAUAUAAAUACAACGACCGGUGGCAGUUUUUCUGUGAGCGUCGAUAGCCACACAUCGGUUGAAAAUCUAAAGAAAAUCGUGGCAAAAAAA
This is a long non-coding RNA of Contarinia nasturtii (swede midge), 764 nucleotides long. RefSeq lists it as uncharacterized. The transcript has 2 exons. The record is from RefSeq and is a predicted model, not a curated record. NCBI's taxonomy places the organism in Eukaryota, Metazoa, Arthropoda, Insecta, Diptera, Cecidomyiidae.